CCGGCGCACGGGUGAGUAACACGUAUGCAAUCCACCUGUAACAGGGGGAUAACCCGGAGAAAUCCGGACUAAUACCCCAUAAUAUGGGCGCUCCGCAUGGAGAGCCCAUUAAAGAGAGCAAUUUUGGUUACAGACGAGUAUGCGCUCCAUUAGCCAGUUGGCGGGGUAACGGCCCACCAAAGCGACGAUGGAUAGGGGUUCUGAGAGGAAGGUCCCCCACAUUGGAACUGAGACACGGUCCAA
Molecule: ribosomal RNA, 243 nt
Filed under: uncultured bacterium
Lineage: Bacteria
Description: partial 16S ribosomal RNA
Rfam family: Bacterial small subunit ribosomal RNA
Source: RNAcentral